GAUGAACGCUAGCUACAGGCUUAACACAUGCAAGUCGAGGGGCAUCAGGAAGAAAGCUUGCUUUCUUUGCUGGCGACCGGCGCACGGGUGAGUAACACGUAUCCAACCUGCCCUUUACUCGGGGAUAGCCUUUCGAAAGAAAGAUUAAUACCCGAUAGCAUAAUGAUUCCGCAUGGUUUCAUUAUUAAAGGAUUCCGGUAAAGGAUGGGGAUGCGUUCCAUUAGGUUGUUGGUGAGGUAACGGCCCACCAAGCCUUCGAUGGAUAGGGGUUCUGAGAGGAAGGUCCCCCACAUUGGAACUGAGACACGGUCCAAACUCCUACGGGAGGCAGCAGUGAGGAAUACUGGUCAAUGGGCGCUAGCCUGAACCAGCCAAGUAGCGUGAAGGAUGAAGGCUCUAUGGGUCGUAAACUUCUUUUAUAUAAGAAUAAAGUGCAGUAUGUAUACUGUUUUGUAUGUAUUAUAUGAAUAAGGAUCGGCUAACUCCGUGCCAGCAGCCGCGGUAAUACGGAGGAUCCGAGCGUUAUCCGGAUUUAUUGGGUUUAAAGGGAGCGUAGGUGGACUGGUAAGUCAGUUGUGAAAGUUUGCGGCUCAACCGUAAAAUUGCAGUUGAUACUGUCAGUCUUGAGUACAGUAGAGGUGGGCGGAAUUCGUGGUGUAGCGGUGAAAUGCUUAGAUAUCACGAAGAACUCCGAUUGCGAAGGCAGCUCACUGGACUGCAACUGACACUGAUGCUCGAAAGUGUGGGUAUCAAACAGGAUUAGAUACCCUGGUAGUCCACACAGUAAACGAUGAAUACUCGCUGUUUGCGAUAUACAGUAAGCGGCCAAGCGAAAGCAUUAAGUAUUCCACCUGGGGAGUACGCCGGCAACGGUGAAACUCAAAGGAAUUGACGGGGGCCCGCACAAGCGGAGGAACAUGUGGUUUAAUUCGAUGAUACGCGAGGAACCUUACCCGGGCUUAAAUUGCAGUGGAAUGAUGUGGAAACAUGUCAGUGAGCAAUCACCGCUGUGAAGGUGCUGCAUGGUUGUCGUCAGCUCGUGCCGUGAGGUGUCGGCUUAAGUGCCAUAACGAGCGCAACCCUUAUCUUUAGUUACUAACAGGUUAUGCUGAGGACUCUAGAGAGACUGCCGUCGUAAGAUGUGAGGAAGGUGGGGAUGACGUCAAAUCAGCACGGCCCUUACGUCCGGGGCCACACACGUGUUACAAUGGGGGGUACAGAAGGCAGCUAGCGGGUGACCGUAUGCUAAUCCCAAAAUCCUCUCUCAGUUCGGAUCGAAGUCUGCAACCCGACUUCGUGAAGCUGGAUUCGCUAGUAAUCGCGCAUCAGCCACGGCGCGGUGAAUACGUUCCCGGGCCUUGUACACACCGCCCGUCAAGCCAUGGGAGCCGGGGGUACCUGAAGUACGUAACCGCAAGGAUCGUCCUAGGGUAAAACUGGA
This 1441-nucleotide ribosomal RNA is filed under the name uncultured organism. Its description in RNAcentral is "SSU rRNA". It matches the Rfam family "Bacterial small subunit ribosomal RNA". The record is from RNAcentral.